GACGAACGCUGGCGGCGUGCUUAACACAUGCAAGUCGAACGGAAAGGCCCUGCUUUUGUGGGGUGCUCGAGUGGCGAACGGGUGAGUAACACGUGAGUAACCUGCCCUUGACUUUGGGAUAACUUCAGGAAACUGGGGCUAAUACCGGAUAGGAGCUCCUGCUGCAUGGUGGGGGUUGGAAAGUUUCGGCGGUUGGGGAUGGACUCGCGGCCUAUCAGCUUGUUGGUGGGGUAGUGGCUUACCAAGGCUUUGACGGGUAGCCGGCCUGAGAGGGUGACCGGCCACAUUGGGACUGAGAUAAGGCCCAGACUCCUACGGGAGGCAGCAGUGGGGAAGAGUGCACAAUGGGCGGAAGCCUGAUGCAGCAACGCCGCGUGCGGGAUGACGGCCUUCGGGUUGUAAACCGCUUUCGCCUGAGACGAAGCGUGAGUGACGGUAAUGGGUAAAGAAGCACCGGCUAACUACGUG
Molecule: ribosomal RNA, 468 nt
Filed under: uncultured bacterium
Lineage: Bacteria
Description: partial 16S ribosomal RNA
Rfam family: Bacterial small subunit ribosomal RNA
Source: RNAcentral